CCUACGGGAGGCUGCAGUGGGGAAUAUUGGACAAUGGGCGAAAGCCUGAUCCAGCCAUGCCGCGUGUGUGAAGAAGGCCUUCGGGUUGUAAAGCACUUUCAGUGGGGAAGAAAGCCUUGGGGCUAAUACCCUCGAGGAAGGACAUCACCCACAGAAGAAGCACCGGCUAACUCCGUGCCAGCAGCCGCGGUAAUACGGAGGGUGCGAGCGUUAAUCGGAAUUACUGGGCGUAAAGCGCGCGUAGGCGGUCUGAUAAGCCGGUUGUGAAAGCCCCGGGCUCAACCUGGGAACGGCAUCCGGAACUGUCAGGCUAGAGUGCAGGAGAGGAAGGUAGAAUUCCCGGUGUAGCCGUGAAAUGCGUAGAGAUCGGGAGGAAUACCAGUGGCGAAGGCGGCCUUCUGGACUGACACUGACGCUGAGGUGCGAAAGCGUGGGUAGCAAACAGGAUUAGAUACCCCAGUAGUC
Molecule: ribosomal RNA, 465 nt
Filed under: Vreelandella stevensii
Lineage: Bacteria; Pseudomonadati; Pseudomonadota; Gammaproteobacteria; Oceanospirillales; Halomonadaceae
Description: partial 16S ribosomal RNA
Rfam family: Bacterial small subunit ribosomal RNA
Source: RNAcentral